GAAGACUACACUUGCUAAAUUGGUGUAUAAUGAUCAAAGGGUGAUUAGUCAUUUUGAUGUGAAACUAUGGGUGUGUGUUUCAGACGUCUUUGAAUUAGAUAAGGUGAUGAUUAAAAUUCUUAACUCUGCUGGUCAAAAAAAAAGAAGUGGAUUUGGGUAUAGACCAAUUACAAAGAGCCUUGUGAGAGGCUUUGAAUGGAAAGAAGUAUUUACUCAUCCUAGAUGAUGUG
Molecule: unclassified non-coding RNA, 230 nt
Filed under: Hevea brasiliensis (rubber tree)
Lineage: Eukaryota; Viridiplantae; Streptophyta; Magnoliopsida; Malpighiales; Euphorbiaceae
Source: RNAcentral